GACGAACGCUGGCGGCGUGCUUAACACAUGCAAGUCGAACGAUGAAGCCUAGCUUGCUAGGUGGAUUAGUGGCGAACGGGUGAGUAAUACGUGAGUAACCUACCUUUAACUCUGGGAUAAGCCUGGGAAACUGGGUCUAAUACCGGAUACGACCAAUCUCCGCAUGGGGUGUUGGUGGAAAGCGUUAUGUAGUGGUUAUAGAUGGGCUCACGGCCUAUCAGCUUGUUGGUGAGGUAACGGCUCACCAAGGCGACGACGGGUAGCCGGCCUGAGAGGGUGACCGGCCACACUGGGACUGAGACACGGCCCAGACUCCUACGGGAGGCAGCAGUGGGGAAUAUUGCACAAUGGGCGCAAGCCUGAUGCAGCGACGCCGCGUGAGGGAUGACGGCCUUCGGGUUGUAAACCUCUGUUAGCAGGGAAGAAGAGAGAUUGACGGUACCUGCAGAGAAAGCGCCGGCUAACUACG
RNAcentral lists this ribosomal RNA (469 nucleotides) under uncultured bacterium. RNAcentral describes it as "partial 16S ribosomal RNA". It matches the Rfam family "Bacterial small subunit ribosomal RNA", at positions 28 to 505 of the family's 1533-position model. The record is from RNAcentral.